Molecule: ribosomal RNA, 850 nt
Filed under: uncultured archaeon
Lineage: Archaea
Description: bacterial SSU rRNA
Rfam family: Archaeal small subunit ribosomal RNA
Source: RNAcentral
UAGCAAUAUGUGGCAUACGGCUCAGUAACACGUAGUCAACAUGCCCAGGGGACGUGGAUAACCUCGGGAAACUGAGGAUAAACCGCGAUAGGUCAUUGCUUCUGGAAUGGGCAAUGACUCAAACCUAUAUGGCCCCUGGAUUGGACUGCGGCCGAUCAGGCUGUUGGUGAGGUAAUGGCCCACCAAACCUGUAACCGGUACGGGCUCUGAGAGGAGGAGCCCGGAGAUGGGCACUGAGACAAGGGCCCAGGCCCUAUGGGGCGCAGCAGGCGCGAAACCUCUGCAAUAGGCGAAAGCUUGACAGGGUUACUCUGAGUGAUUUCCGUUAAGGAGAUCUUUUGGCACCUCUAAAAAUGGUGCAGAAUAAGGGGUGGGCAAGUCUGGUGUCAGCCGCCGCGGUAAUACCAGCACCCCGAGUGGUCGGGACGUUUAUUGGGCCUAAAGCAUCCGUAGCCGGUUCUACAAGUCUUCCGUUAAAUCCACCUGCUCAACAGAUGGGCUGCGGAAGAUACUAUGGAGCUAGGAGGCGGGAGAGGCAAGCGGUACUCGAUGGGUAGGGGUAAAAUCCGUUGAUCCAUUGAAGACCACCAGUGGCGAAGGCGGCUUGCCAGAACGCGCUCGACGGUGAGGGAUGAAAGCUGGGGGAGCAAACCGGAUUAGAUACCCGGGUAGUCCCAGCUGUAAACGAUGCAGACUCGGUGAUGAGUUGGCUUUAUGCUAACUCAGUGCCGCAGGGAAGCCGUUAAGUUUGCCGCCUGGGGAGUACGGUCGCAAGACUGAAACUUAAAGGAAUUGGCGGGGGAGCACCACAAGGGGUGAAGCCUGCGGUUCAAUUGGAUUCAACGCCGGG